RNAcentral lists this ribosomal RNA (447 nucleotides) under Moraxella caviae. Its description in RNAcentral is "bacterial SSU rRNA". It matches the Rfam family "Bacterial small subunit ribosomal RNA", at positions 54 to 500 of the family's 1533-position model. Lineage: Bacteria; Pseudomonadati; Pseudomonadota; Gammaproteobacteria; Moraxellales; Moraxellaceae. The record is from RNAcentral.
CAUGCAAGUCGAACGAGGUUAGGGAGCUUGCUCCUGAUACCUAGUGGCGAACGGGUGAGUAAUGCUUAGGAAUCUGCCUAGUAGUGGGGGAUAACUACCCGAAAGGGUAGCUAAUACCGCAUACGACCUACGGGUGAAAGGGGGCUUUUAGCUCUCGCUAUUAGAUGAGCCUAAGUCGGAUUAGCUAGUUGGUGGGGUAAAGGCCUACCAAGGCGACGAUCUGUAGCUGGUCUGAGAGGAUGAUCAGCCACACUGGGACUGAGACACGGCCCAGACUCCUACGGGAGGCAGCAGUGGGGAAUAUUGGACAAUGGGCGAAAGCCUGAUCCAGCCAUGCCGCGUGUGUGAAGAAGGCCUUUUGGUUGUAAAGCACUUUAAGUAGGGAGGAAAAGCUAAUGGUUAAUACCCAUUAGCCCUGACGUUACCUACAGAAUAAGCACCGGCUAA